CAGUGAAGUCAUGAUUAAUUUAUUCUGCUUUAUUAGUUAUUGAAGAAACUGUAGUAUAUCAGAAAAAUUUUCUUUUGUAGAAAAAUUGCUGAGGUAGAACGCAUCGCCCGUGAGAAAAAGGAGUUAGAAUACCUUAAAUUGCUUGAAGCACAGCGCAUUGCUGAGUUACAAGCUAAAUUGACAAGCUCAGCAGUUAAAAAGAUUGCACUAGCUGAUAACAAGGAAACUGGACUAAAUCAUACAUUCACUUUAAGUGAUAACAAGGAAAAUGGUCUUAAUACCACAUUUUCCAAAACUACUGGACCGUCUCAGUCAAGUUCUACUGGGAAAAACAAAGAUAGUUAUGACAUUACACCAAACUCCAAGAAAUAUAAGAAAAAUAUUAACAUCUAAAGAAUAGACAAGUGGAGAUCUCAGCUCACAGCUGCUAUGAUCAACCAAGUAUACUCCGGACCUGUGGUUGAGGAGAUCUUCCCUCCGACUAUUCUUCUCACCACACCUGAUCUCACCCAAAUCUUUCCUAAGCGGAAAAAAUUUAACAAAAGCACCUCUUGUGCGAUAUGGACUACACCACUUUCUAAAUAUUUUGAAUAAUGUUAGCUAUAUACAGUACUGUGUAUAUAUUUUAUUAUGCUUCAUGGUAUAAACUAAUGAUUUUCAGUUAAGUGUUAUUAAUGCAUUGGAAUUGUUUUCCAAAUUUUUAGAGUACAUAACUUAGCAUUUCUUAAUAUAUAGGUAUUUUCCAAUUUACGAUGGGGGUUGUGUUCCUGAAAACCGUAACAUAAACUAUGAGCCCUUUAA
Molecule: long non-coding RNA, 801 nt
Organism: Homarus americanus (American lobster)
Lineage: Eukaryota; Metazoa; Arthropoda; Malacostraca; Decapoda; Nephropidae
Exons: 3
Source: RefSeq, a predicted model, not a curated record